AUACCCUAUUAUUAAUUUCUUAAUUUUUAUUGAUUACUAUUAGUUAAUUUCUUUAAAAAUCAAAGAAUUUGGCGGUUAAUUAAUUCUUUUUAGAGGAACAUGUAUAUUAAUCGAUAAUCCACGAUAUUUUUUACCAUUAUAGUAUUUGUAUACCUCUAUUGUAAGAAUAUUGUAAAAAUAAUUUUCUCUAACUUUUAAGUAAAAUUUUAGGUCAAGGUGCAGUUUUGUUAUGGUUUUUAUGUGUUACUUAAAUAUUAUAUAAUAAUAAGUUCUUUUUGAUUAAUUUAGGAUUUAAUAGUAAAUUUUAUUAAUUAAUUAGGUUAAAUAUAGUUCUAAUUAAUGUACACAUC
This 350-nucleotide ribosomal RNA is filed under the name Hyalojassus sp. n. 1b SK-2013. Its description in RNAcentral is "partial 12S ribosomal RNA". Lineage: Eukaryota; Metazoa; Arthropoda; Insecta; Hemiptera; Cicadellidae. The record is from RNAcentral.